Molecule: long non-coding RNA, 491 nt
Organism: Apodemus sylvaticus (European woodmouse)
Lineage: Eukaryota; Metazoa; Chordata; Mammalia; Rodentia; Muridae
Exons: 4
Source: RefSeq, a predicted model, not a curated record
GCCCAGGAAUGGGUGAUGGGCGGGGUGAAGGGGAAAGGAGGUGGGCCCAGGAAUGGGUGAUGGGCGGGGUGAAGGGGAAAGGAGGUGGGCCCAGGAAUGGGUGAUGGGCGGGGUGAAGGGGAAAGGAGGUGGGCCCAGGAAUGGGUGAUGGGCGGGGUGAAGGGGAAAGGAGGUGGGCCCAGGCAUGGGUGAUGGGCGGGGUGAAGAGGAAAGGAGGUGGGCCCAGGCAUGGGUGAUGGGCGGGGUGAAGGGGAAAGGAGGUGGGCCCAGGCAUGGGUGAUGGGCGGGGUGAAGGGGAAAGGAGGCGGGCCCAGGCAUGGGUGAUGGGCGGGGUGAAGGGGAAAGGAGGUGGGCCCAGGAAUGGGUGAUGGGCGGGGUGAAGGGGAAAGGAGGUGGGCCCAGGCAUGGGUGAUGGGCGGGGUGAAGGGGAAAGGAGGUGGGCCCAGGCAUGGGUGAUGGGCGGGGUGAAGGGGAAAGGAGGUGGGCCCAGG